UUGUCUGCUCACGCCAAGGUUAAUUUGGCACCUCAGUCACAAAGAGCAUAUGCUUCCUGUGACAGACUUCCAGGGAGGCAGCUUCCCACAUGUGCUCCCCUGGUCUCCUCAUUGGUGUUCAGAAAGGAGAGGGUGGGUCCUCCAAAGGAGCCUGUGUGCCUAUGACAGAUGAGAUUUUUUUUUUUAAUGUGAGAAAACAAAACCUGAACAUUUGAUGCCCUGUUUUAAAAGGCGAAGACCUCUUUGGACCUGAAAUUUACAAGCAUCUAAUUCAUUAACUGUGAAUGUAGGGGGUGCUUAAAUGAAUUCUUGUUGACUGAUUGAUUGAAUACAGUCAUGACAUAAAUUCCACAAUCCCAAGGCAUACCCCUGGAAUGAGGACAUCACAUGGCUGCCAGGAGUUCAGAAUAGCAAGGGGACUUCAAAAGUCACACCUGGAAGUCCGAUCCUCUCUUCAACAUGCCCAAUACAUGGUCAACCAGCUUCCCCUCAAGGAGCUCAAGAUGAGGGAACUCACUACUUUCAGCUGUUCAUCUGUGGGGAGAAGGAAACAGCAAGCCACUCCAGUAUCUUUGCCAAGAAAACCUCAAAUUGGAUCAUAAAAUGUCAGACAACUGAAAUGAUGAAACAACAACAAUCAACUUGGCAACUGUGUGGAGGAUGGAAUAGUGAAGGGAAAAAUUGGAAUCUAGAAGACCAAGAAGACAACUGCUAUUGUAAGCCAGAAAAAAAAAAGGUAAUGAGGACCUCAAUUAGGAAAAGACAUGUGAAUUGGGAGAAGGGAAUGGAAUACAAAAGGCAGCUAUAUAUUUUUUAAGCACUACAAUAAAACAAAAAGAUAAUAAUUACA
This 850-nucleotide long non-coding RNA is filed under the name Monodelphis domestica (gray short-tailed opossum). Its description in RNAcentral is "lncRNA (ENSMODG00000051577.1)". The record is from RNAcentral. Lineage: Eukaryota; Metazoa; Chordata; Mammalia; Didelphimorphia; Didelphidae.